GCCGAGUUGCUGAGCCCAGAACAAGCUAAAUGGCCGCCUCCGAGACCUCCUCAUCUUCCGAGUCCGAAGACCACAGACGAAGCCGCCGCGACGGCCGGAAGUCCCGCCACCGCGGUGACCCCGAUCUCGACGCCCGUAACAGCCGCGACAAGCCUAGAUCCGGCGGUGCUGAUUCUAGGGAUCUUCGCAGAGACGAAAGGAAGCACCGCGACCGCGGUCGUAGCAGCUCCGGCGACGAGGGUUCCGAUUCGGAUGGCCGAGGGAAGAGGCGGAGCUCGGCGAACGAUCGCCGGCAGCGUCGGCACGCUGACGAGGGAGAGAAGGCGAGGAACCACCGGUCGGACGGGAGGGGUCGAAGGAGAGACGAGGACGGUGAGGAUGGUAGAGAAGAUAGGGUUCGAGAGAGGGACAGGAAGCGAAGGUCCGACGAGGAGGGAAGCCCUCGGAGGCGAGAGAGGACCAGAGACGAGGGGCGCCACAGGUCUCGCGAUGAAGAUAGCCCUCGCCGGCGAGACAAGAAGACAGACAGAGAUCGGGAUCGCAGGAAGCAGCACUCGGAUGAUGAUAGAAGCCCUCGAAGGCGAGAGAGGACCACAGACAAUGGCAGAGACCGGUCCGGAAAUGAUGAUGACCGUGGAGCACGGCAUAGAAGUCAUAGAGACAGAGAUAUGGACGAAGAAGGCCAUCCAAGAGUUGGAGAAGCCAAGAAAGUUGAAAACGAGCUGCCACCGCCGCCGCCAAUCCCUGAUUCCAUUGCGGGAAGGACUGGUGGCAUAUACAUCCCCCCAUUCAGGAUGGCACAGAUGAUGCGGGAGUUGCAGGACAAGAGCAGCGAGGCCUACCAGAGGCUCAGCUGGGAUGCUCUUCGGAAGAGCAUUAAUGGACUGGUGAACAAAGUCAAUGCCACCAACAUCAAGAAUAUAAUCCCCGAGCUCUUCUCAGAAAACUUAAUUCGUGGGCGGGGCCUGUUCUGCCGGUCAUGUAUGAAAUCACAGAUGGCGUCACCUGGUUUUACAGAUGUAUUUGCUGCGUUAGUUGCUGUUGUGAACACCAAGUUCCCAGAAGUGGGUUUACUUCUAUUGAAAAGAAUCGUGUUACAACUCAAAAGGGCAUAUAAACGGAAUGACAAGCCUCAAUUACUCGCUGCAACAAAAUUUAUAGCUCAUCUUGUGAAUCAACAAGUAGCACAUGAGAUUAUUGCAUUAGAGCUUCUAACGGUGCUGUUGGAAAACCCUACUGAUGAUAGUGUAGAGGUAGCUGUAGGUUUUGUUAAAGAAUGUGGAGCAUUGCUUCAGGACUUCUCCCCUCAAGGUCUCCAUGGUAUUUUUGAACGUUUUAGGGGAAUACUUCAUGAAGGAGAGAUAGAUAAACGAGUUCAAUUCUUGAUUGAAGGCCUUUUUGCAAUAAGGAAAGCCAAAUUUCAGGGAUUUCCAGCUAUCCGGCCAGAAUUGGAUCUUGUGGAACAAGAAGAUCAAUUCACCCAUGAAAUAUCCCUGGAAGAUGAAAUAGAUCCAGAGACAAAUCUUGAUGUUUUUAAGCCAAAUCCAACAUUUCUGGAUGAUGAGAAGGCUUAUGAAAAUAUUAAGAAAAGUAUCCUUGGUACGGAGUCUUCUGAAGAUGAAGAAGGGUCUGAUGCAGCCUCAGAUGAAGACGACGAAGAAGAAUCUGAAGAGGAGGAUGAGGAGAAAAUGGAAAUAAAAGAUGAGACUGAGACAAAUCUUGUUAAUUUACGGAGAACUAUUUAUCUGACAAUCAUGUCAAGUGUUGAUUUUGAGGAGGCUGGUCAUAAGCUGUUAAAAAUCAAACUUGAGCCUGGUCAAGAGAUGGAAUUAUGCAUAAUGCUGCUUGAGUGCUGCAGCCAAGAGAGGACAUAUCUUCGUUAUUAUGGGCUUCUAGGACAGCGGUUUUGCAUGAUCAAUAAAGUCCACCAGGAAAACUUUGAGAAAUGCUUUGUGCAGCAGUAUUCCAUGAUACAUCGACUUGAAACUAAUAAACUACGUAAUGUGGCUAAGUUCUUCGCUCAUUUACUUGGAACUGAUGCACUCCCUUGGCAUGUUCUUGCUUAUAUCCGCUUGACGGAGGAGGACACAACUUCAUCUUCACGAAUUUUUAUAAAAAUUCUCUUCCAGGAAUUGUCAGAGCAUCUCGGCAUACGUUUGCUUAAUGAACGUCUAAAUGAUCCGACCAUGCAAGAUUCAUUUGAGUCUAUUUUCCCCAAGGACAACCCAAAAAAUAUAAGAUUUUCUAUAAAUUUUUUCACAUCAAUUGGACUAGGUGGCAUAACAGAGAACUUGAGAGAAUAUUUGAAAAAUAUGCCUCGCCUCAUAAUGCAGCAGCAGAAAUCUGUUUCGGAUUCAGAUGAAGAAUCUGAAAGUUCUGAAGAGUUGAGUUCAACAGGCUCUGGCUCUGAAUCAGGUUCUGAGUCGGCGUCGGAACCAAGCUCUGAAAGUGAUGGAAGGCACAAUAAGAGAAGGAAGAGGAAAUGAUGAAACGUUCUGAAGCCUCAAGUCCCCUAUGUUGUCCUCAAGUAUAUUUUUGACUUUAGAGCAGGUAUUAAGAAUCAAAGUUGAUGACCGGUAAUUGGAGGAAAGCUAAUGUCUCAUUGGAAAGGCUUGGAGUACUUCUUUGUCCAUGGGCUGGAGAAGCGUUAGCAGAGUUGACUGUUGAAUUAAUAGCUGCAUUGUGCUUUUGCUGCUGUCAUGCUUGAUAUUUCUCAGCUGAGAUGAAUCCUGCUAUUGAAAGAAUGGUAGAAGACAGAUGGCUGGCCGUACAUCUUCAAGGGGCUCGUCUGCUGUUGGCCAACCCUGCCGCUUGUCUUCCUUCUGUCAUGGCUGUCUGGCUUGCAGUUUGCCGCUGGCUGUAAAGAUAUUGGAUUUAUCUUGGGCUGGUAUAUAAGCUGGAUCUUUCUUUUUUGUUGCAGACUUGUGCAAUUAUAUCUAUCGUCUGUUGGGAGGGUCUGUUAAGAUAUACAAUCUUUACAAAUGUAGAUCUUGAUAGUUACUGUUUCGUUUCUA
This is an RNA transcript of Elaeis guineensis (African oil palm), 3014 nucleotides long. RefSeq lists it as uncharacterized. The record is from RefSeq and is a predicted model, not a curated record. Lineage: Eukaryota; Viridiplantae; Streptophyta; Magnoliopsida; Arecales; Arecaceae.